This 253-nucleotide ribosomal RNA is filed under the name uncultured bacterium. Its description in RNAcentral is "partial 16S ribosomal RNA". It matches the Rfam family "Bacterial small subunit ribosomal RNA", at positions 524 to 776 of the family's 1533-position model. The record is from RNAcentral.
UACAGAGGUCUCAAGCGUUGUUCGGAUUCAUUGGGCGUAAAGGGUGCGUAGGCGGCGCGGUAAGUCGGAUGUGAAAUCUUGGAGCUUAACUCCGAAACUGCAUUCGAUACUGCCGUGCUUGAGGACUGGAGAGGAGACUGGAAUUUACGGUGUAGCGGUGAAAUGCGUAGAUAUCGUAAGGAAGACCAAUGGCGAAGGCGGGUCUCUGGACAGUUCCUGACGCUGAAGCACGAAGGCCAGGGGAGCAAACGGG